CUACAUCUACCCUGUAGAUCCGAAUUUGUUUGAAAUUUCGCGACAAAUUCGGUUCUAGAGAGGUUUGUGUG
This 71-nucleotide microRNA precursor is filed under the name Phlebotomus papatasi. RNAcentral describes it as "mir-10 microRNA precursor family". It matches the Rfam family "mir-10 microRNA precursor family". From Rfam's summary of the family: In this case the mature sequence comes from the 5' arm of the precursor. The extents of the hairpin precursors are not generally known and are estimated based on hairpin prediction. Lineage: Eukaryota; Metazoa; Arthropoda; Insecta; Diptera; Psychodidae. The record is from RNAcentral.